Molecule: unclassified non-coding RNA, 1964 nt
Filed under: Hevea brasiliensis (rubber tree)
Lineage: Eukaryota; Viridiplantae; Streptophyta; Magnoliopsida; Malpighiales; Euphorbiaceae
Source: RNAcentral
CUCUCUCUCUCUGUCUCUCUCACCAAUCUCUUGUGUGCACAACCAAACCCGAAUAAUGCACACCAAAAUGAGAAGGGAACCCCACCAAGAAAUACCAACCACAAUCCAUAUCUCUCACCCUACAUUUCCUAUAUAGUAUUUUGGAGUGAUGUAAGUACACAAAACACACCAUGAUUACCCGUCUCUGUUCACUGGCGAAAAAUUACACAAAAACACACCAAAAAAGACACACCCACAAGCAAAGUGAAAAAGAAAAGGAGAAGAAUACCAAGAAAAAAAAGGAAGGAGAAGAGUGAGGUAUUCUUAGAAAAUUAUAGAGACCUGUGUUGUUGUUGUUCAAGGAUAUUGAUAUUGGUUCUCUGUCUCUUAACACUCCCUGAAGAAGACACAUCACCGCCGGUCUUCUCCAUAACAGCUUUCAAUGCUUCUUGGAUGGAACUUAUAGAAUAUGGUAGUUGCUGCUGCUGUUGCUGCUCAUUGCUGUUACUUGAAGAAUCUUCUUCUCCAGUGAUGAACAAAACAUUCUUCACACGCCCACCAAGUGUUGUAAUCUCAGCUUUUAGUGUUCUUAAGCGUAACGCUUUCAAGGACUUUAUUAGGUCAGGCAAAAGAUCAGACCUGUCUUCGCAGCAAAGUGAAGCUUUGAUCACAAAUUUACCAUCUUCAUCGGAUGUAUCCAAUGUUAGCUCAUCAAUUUCUGUAGGUACUGGACUUGUUUCGGCGAUCAAAGAAGUCUGACGUUUUAGCUCUUUAACGUGUUGGAUCACCUCUGCUAGCAAUGAAGCUUUGUCCGUCUUGGUUGUGCUUGGUAAUAGGCUACGUAGCUUUGCAAGAUGGUUGUUGAUUCUCUCUCUUCUCCUCCUCUCGGCCUCACUGUGACUCUUUGAAGCAGCAAGAGCCUUAGCAUCCAUGAUUUCUUGAGCAGUCAUCUUCCCCAGUUCAGCUUGCAACCCAAAAGGAGCUGAACCGGGUUGAACCACCGGUCCAAGAGUGUCGGAUAUGAUUCUAAGAUGAUCACUUGAUGAACCAUCAUAUGCAAACUGCAGGGCAGGAGCUCUUCUGUUGAAGAGACUCCCAUAUGAUGAUGGUACUGGAGGAGGGAUAAGAAAUUGGUCGUGGUCACGAACCGGGUGAGAGGAGAAGUGGUCCGGGUUGAAGGAGUGGACUGGAGGAAGAGACCAUGGUAAGAUUGGUGAAACUUCAGGAAAAAUCAACCCGGAUCCUCUAGCUCCUCCAUAGAUGUCAUUGCUUUGCUGCUGUUGUUGCUGUUGCAUUUGUUGGUGAUGUUGGAGAAGUAACUGUUCUUGGUAGCCUUGGAAGUUAUGGAUGGUUUGAGAACACUCUCCCUGAUCUUCUUCUUUGAAUCCACACAUCUCCCUCUUCCUCUUUGGACAAAAACUUGCGAUUGAAAUUCUAGAGCUUUGAGGGUGUUUCCGUAUAUUGAUCCCCUUACUUCUUGAUGAGAAAGAAGGAAGAAUUGUGAGAGAAAAAAGAAGGAUGUGGAAACUGGGUUAUGCUUGUCGUAUAGAGGGAGAAGAAUGGAAAGGGAAUAAGAAGCAAAAAGAGAUAAUAUUAGGAGAGUCAGACUUUGGUUUGAUAUGUAGUUAUAUAAGAUGGAAGGAUAGACUUUUCAGUGCUCUAUACUCUAUCUCUUGUGGGUAGUGGAAGUAAAGCCAAAGAAAGAAAAGGGUUGGACUUGUGUGAAUUCUAAAGAGUCUCUCUUCCAAUCUCUUUCACUUGGGUAGGUUUUUUCUUCUGCCACACAGCCUUUGUGGGUGAUGACUGAUGACCCCUUUUAUACUAUGCUUCAACUAAGCUUUCCCUUUCGUUUGGCGCUAUGUUGGUUUAUCUUUUUGGUUUCCUUUGUUGUUUUUUUUCCCCUUGCUAUCUGCUUUUGUGCUGAUCUGCAUCCCUUCCUCGCUUUCUCUCUCCCACCAUUCUGAAUAUAUAGAUAGAGAGCCUGC